RNAcentral lists this long non-coding RNA (253 nucleotides) under Homo sapiens (human). Its description in RNAcentral is "non-protein coding lnc-ZNF713-1:1". Lineage: Eukaryota; Metazoa; Chordata; Mammalia; Primates; Hominidae. The record is from RNAcentral.
UGUGUAAUCUUGCUUGCUGGGACCCAAACUGAUCUCAAGAGAUGAUCCCUCUACUAUUGAGAAACUUUCCAAGAACAAACAGAAGCCUAUCACUCCAGAGACUGCUGAAAAGCUGGCCCAUGACCUGAAGAUUGUCAAGUAUGUGGAGUGUUCUGCACUCACACAGAAAGGCCUAAAGAAUGUAUUUGACGAAGCAACAUUGGCUGCGCUGGAGCCUCCAGAAUCGAAGAAGAGCCACAGGUGUGUGCUGCUA